AUGUUGGAGAGUUUGAUCCUGGCUCAGGACGAACGCUGGCGGUGCGCCUUAUGCAUGCAAGUCGAGCGAAGCUUUUCAGUAGUUUACUACAGAAAAUGACUGAGCGGCGAACGGGUGAGUAACGCGUGAGCAAUCUACCUUAGUUACUGGGAUAGCCCGAGGAAACUCGGAUUAAUACCGCAUACGCCCUAAGGGGGAAAGGGGGCAGCUUGCUGCUCUCACUAUUGGAUGAGCCUGCGUAAGAUUAGCUUGUUGGUGGGGUAAAGGCCUACCAAGGCAACGAUCUUUAGCUGGUCUGAGAGGACGAUCAGCCACAUUGGGACUGAGACACGGCCCAGACAUCUACGGAAGGCAGCAGUUAAGAAUAUUGGACAAUGGGGGCAACCCUGAUCCAGCAAUACCGCGUGUGUGAAGAAGGCCUUAGGGUUGUAAAGCACUUUAAGCAAUGAAGAAGAAAAAUAAGUUAAUACCUUGUUUUUUUGACAUUAAUUGCAGAAUAAGUACCGGCUAACUCCG
Molecule: ribosomal RNA, 516 nt
Filed under: Acidimicrobiales bacterium
Lineage: Bacteria; Bacillati; Actinomycetota; Acidimicrobiia; Acidimicrobiales
Description: bacterial SSU rRNA
Rfam family: Bacterial small subunit ribosomal RNA
Source: RNAcentral